UUCCAUUUCUUUUCUACUUCCAAUUUCUGCUUAUUUUUUAUUCUUUCGUAUGUAUAUUAUUUUUUAAUGGUCACUUGUUGUGCAAUGUCUUUCUUUUAAGUCGUUGGCUACUUUUUAAAGAGAAGAACAAAGUGAACUAUGUUAUCGUUCUACUCUUUCUACCCCAUUUCUGUAAAGAAGCAAGAAAACACCUAACAGGCAUAUCAAUCUGCUUAAACAUUCAAUUGGCCAUUUAGUCUUUUGGGAUUUAACAUUGUGCCAUUCUUGUCGUUGCCCUUAAAUCUCCUCACAAACUCUUUGUUCUUCCAUCAAUCAUUGAGAAAGAUCCCUAGAAUCGGAGCCCCAUGUCUUUCCUUUUCUCCACGCCGGCCAGAAUUUUGCCCACUCUCGAAACAAAAU
This 399-nucleotide long non-coding RNA is filed under the name Cucumis sativus (cucumber). Its description in RNAcentral is "long non-coding RNA (CSAT_LNC003166)". The record is from RNAcentral. Lineage: Eukaryota; Viridiplantae; Streptophyta; Magnoliopsida; Cucurbitales; Cucurbitaceae.